AUAAUAAUAAUAAUAAUAAUAAUAAUAAUAAUAAUAAUAAUAAUAAUAAUAAUAAUAGUAUUUUUCCCUAGUUUACUGUUUACAUCAACGGUUCAUUUCUUAUCUUUUAUUUAUUUAUUUGUUUGUUUUUUUCAUUUUUAUUCGAUUCAUUUUUUUUCAUUGAUUUUCGCGUCGUUUUAAUUUCCUGUUUUUGUAUCUUUUCUUUAUUUUUCAACAUUUUCCUGUAUUUUUCAUUUAUUUGUAUUUUUCCUGUAUUUUCCUUUUGCUUCAUGUCUUUUUCUCUCUUUAUCAACCCCUUCCUUUAUUCUUCCUCACGUCAACUUUCGUUUUUAUCAACUAAUUUCAACUAAUCAACUAAUCAACUCAUUUUUUCUUUACAUUAUUUCUCGCUAAAAUUAAUUCGAUCACACGCACACAAACGCACAUAGUACCAAUUUCUAUGUAUGUAUGAGUGGACGCAUAAUGUAUGUGUGUAUGUACGUAAACGAAUAUAUGUGUGCGUAUCAUAUGUGUGUGUGUGUGUGUGUGUGUGUGUGUGUGUGUGUGUGUGUGUGUGUGUGUGUGUGUGUGUGUGUGUUUAUAUGAUUUUCUCUUCGCACACCUGCAUACCUUUCCUUCCCUCAACUAAUCAAUUUUCUUUACACCUGAGGGAGAGGGUAGGAGGGAAGGGAAGGGAAGGGAAGGGAAGGGAAGGGAAGGUGAGGUGAGGUGAGGUUAGGUGAUGUAAGAGAAAGGAUGGGAUGUUGAGGGAAAGGAAGGGAAGGGAAGGGAAGGAAGAUGGGUUAAGUUAAGGUAAGGUAAGGUAUGGUAUGGUAAGGUAAGGUUAGGUCAGGAGAGGUAAGGUUAGGUAAGGUCGAUAGGUAAGGUAAGGUAAGGUAAAGUAAGGUUACGUUAGGUUAGGAAGGCAAAGUAAGGUAAGGUAAGGUAAGGAAAGGAUAGCUAAGGUAAGGUUAGGUAAGGAAAGGAUAGCUAAGGUAAGGUUAGGUAAGGAAAGGAUAGCUAAGGUAAGGUUAGGUAAGGAAAGGAUAGCUAAGGUAAGGUUAGGUAAGGUAAGGUUAGGUUAGGUAAGGUAAGGUAAGGAAAUGUUGGUAAGGGAGGGAAGGAGGGAGGUAAGGGAAAGGAGGGUAAUUACAGGUGGAGGGAAGGAAAGGUAAGUAUCGCAUCACCACCAUCACCACCACCAUCACCACC
Eriocheir sinensis (Chinese mitten crab) is the source of this 1191-nucleotide long non-coding RNA. RefSeq lists it as uncharacterized. NCBI's taxonomy places the organism in Eukaryota, Metazoa, Arthropoda, Malacostraca, Decapoda, Varunidae. The record is from RefSeq and is a predicted model, not a curated record. The transcript has 3 exons.